This is a long non-coding RNA of Dama dama (fallow deer), 3468 nucleotides long. RefSeq lists it as uncharacterized. The record is from RefSeq and is a predicted model, not a curated record. NCBI's taxonomy places the organism in Eukaryota, Metazoa, Chordata, Mammalia, Artiodactyla, Cervidae. The transcript has 3 exons.
CUGCGCCUCCGAGGCCGGAGGUUUGGAUAACGCAGAAGGUACCGCUUACAGCCUGUCUCCGCCUCUCAGGAUACGGACUGCGGAAAUUGUGAGAUUUCAGUCUGAAAACUGAGUGACCUGAAACCCGUCCCAUUAGUUGAAACUCUUACCUUGGGUUCUUAGUUCCACGACCAGGGAUUGAACCCUGUGCCCCCUCUGCUGGAAGCAUGGAAUCUAAGCACUGGACCCCCAGAGUACACCCAUGUGAAAUGGCGGGCUGGAUGAAGCACAAACUGGAAUCAAGAUUGCCAGGAGAAAUAUGAAUAACCUCAGAUAUGCAGAUAACACCAUCCUUAUGGCAGAAAGUGAAGAGGAACUUGCUAAAGAGCCUCUUGAUGAAAGUGAAAGAGAGUGAAAAAGUUGACUUAAAACUCAACAUUCAAGAAACGAAGAUCAUGGCAUCCAGUUCCAUCACUUCAUGUCAAAUAGAUGGGGAAACAAUGGAAACUGUGAGAGGCUUUAUAUUGGGGGGCUCCAAAAUCACUGCAGAUGGUGACUGCAGCCAUGCCAUAAAAUUAGAAGACGCUUGCUCCUUGGAAGAAAAGCUAUGACCAACCUAGACAGCCUAUUAAAAUAUUAAAAAGCAAAGACAUUACUUUGCUGACAAAGGUCCAUCUAGUCAAAGCUAUGGUUUUUCCAGUAGUCAUGUAUGGAUGUGAGAGUUGGACUAUAAAAAAAGCUGAGCGCUGAAGAAUUGAUGCUUUUGAACUGUGGUGCUGGAGAAGACUCUUGAGAGUUCCUUGGACUACAAGGAAAUCCAACCAGUCCAUCCUAAAGGAAAUCAGUCCUGAAUAUACAUUGGAAGGACCAAUGCUGAAGCUGAAACUCCAAUACGCUGGCCACCUGAUGUGAAGAACUGACUUCUUGGAAAAGACCCUGAUGCUGGGAAAGAUUGAAGGCAGGAGGAGAAGGGACAACAGAGGAUGAGAUGGUUGGAUGGCAUCACUGACUCGAUGGACGUGAGUUUGAGUAAACUCCAGGAGUUGGUGAUGGACAGGGAGGCCUGUGGUGCCAGGGAGGUCAGUGUGGUUGCUAAGAGUCGGACAUGACUGAGUGACUGAACCAAACUGAUCUUGAAGUGAUAUUUUACCACUUUACAAGUGAGAAUGUUACCAUGGUAUACUUUCAUUUCUUCUCAGUCUUUGUGUUAUUGUUGUCAUACAUUUGCUUCCAUACGUGUUAUAAACUACAUACCACAUAACCAUUUUUUGAUGUCAGUAGUGAUUUGUCUGUGAAAUAACUUUAAAACUAAGAAAAUUUAUAUUUAUCCACAUAUUUUCCAUUUCUAGUGUUUUUCUUUUGUUUUUAAUAGAUUCAUUUCCAUCUGGUAUCAUUCUAUCCAAAGUAUUAUCUUAGAAAGCAAAUCUUUUGGUGGUGAAAUCUUUUGCAUUUUGCAAGUCUAAAUAGUAUUUGGCUCUAGUUUAAAAAAUUGUGGUAAAAAACCGUAUUACUAAAUUUACCAUGUUAAAAAAAAAUUCACCAUGUUAACCACCUUAAAGUGUAUAGUUUAGUAGUGUUAAGUAUGUUCACAUUGUUAAGCAAUAGAUCUCUAGAACUUUUUCAUUUUGCAACCCUGAAACUCUGUACCCACUAGAUGCUAAUUACUCCUCUUCACUCCCCUCAGCCCUUGGUAACCACCUUUCUGCUUUCUGUUUCUAUAAGUUUGACUACUUUGUAUACUUAAUGUGAGUGGAAUCAUACAUUAUUUGUCCUUCUGUGACUGAUGUAUUUUAUUUAGGACAGUGUUCCUGAGUUUUAUCCAUUUUAUAGCAUGUGACAGGAUUUCUGUCCUUUUUUAAGAGUGAAUAAUAUUACAGUUUGGGGCUUCCCUGAUGGCUCAGACAGUAAAGAAUCUGCCUGCAGUUUUAAAGACCUAGGUUCGAUCCCUGGGUUCGGAAGAUCCCGUGGAGAAGGAAAUGACAACCCACUCCAGUAUUCUUUCCUGGGAAAUCCCAUGGACAGAGGAGCCUGGCAGGCUACAGUCCAUGGGGUCACAAAGAGUCAACACAACUGAAUGACUAACACUUUAGCUUCACUUUCAGUAUUACAGUUUAUGAAUAUAUAUGUGUGUGUGUAUGCAUAUAUCACAGUAUCUUUUUUUAAAUUAUUUAUUUUGACUGUGUUGGGUCUUCAUUGCUGCAUGUCGGUUCUUCGCUGAGGUGUGUGGGUUUCCCUAGUUGCUACUCAUGGGCUUAGUUGCUGUAUGUGGGAUCAUAGCAUCACUGACUCAAUGGACGUGAAUUUGAGCAAACUCUGGGAAACUGUGAAGGACAGGGAAGCCUGGCUUGCUGCAGUCCAAGAGGUUGCAAAGAGUUGGACAUGACUUAGUGACUGAAUGACAACAAUAUGUCCCUACACAGAGAUCUCCCCUGGACCCCCUACACUGGGAGCACAGAGUACUGGGCCACCAGGGAAGUCACUACACCACAAUUUCUUUAUCCAUUCAUCUUUUGAUGGAUGUUUGGGUUGCUUCACUUGGUUGUUGUGAAUAAUGUUGUGAUGGAUAUUGGUGUAUAAAUAUCUCCUCAGCAUCUUACUCUGAAGUCUGUUGAGCUAUAUACCUGGAAGUGAUGUUGGUAAGAGAGUAAACCUUAAAAGUUCCCAUUCCUAGAAAAAAAAUUAUACAUGUACGUGGUGAUGGAGGUUAACUAGACUUAUUGUGGUAAUCAUUUUGAAACAUAUACAUGUAUUAAAUCAUUAUGUUGUGUACCUGAGACUAAUGUGAUGUUGUAUGUCAAUUAUGUCUUUUUUAGAACUUUUUUUAGCUGAAAUAUAGUUUACAAUGUUUCAGGUGUACAGUGAAUGAUUCAGUCAUACAUAUAAAUACAUAUAUGCUCUUUUUCAGAUGCUUUUCUACUAUAGUUUAUUACAAGAUAUUGAAUAUGACUCCUUGUGCUCUGCCGUAGGUCUUCAUUGUCUGUCUGUCUUAUAUGUAGUAGUGUGUGUCUGUUAAUCCAGAAUUCCUAAUUUAUCCUCCCCUUCUUCCCUCUUUGGUAACCAUAAGUUUGUUUUUUAUGUCUGUGAGUCUAUUUCUGUUUUGUAGAUAAGUUCAUUUGUAUCAUUUUUUUGGGUUCCACAUAGAAGUAAUAUCAUAUGAUAUUUGUCUUUCUGUUUCUGACUUGACUUCGUAUGAUAAUAAUGAUACUAUCAAUUUUGUCGUAAUGAAAAAAGAAACCAAAAUGUAAAUACAUGAUUAAAACUUUGUUUUUUGCCUUAAAAUACAAAUACAUAGGAGUUUCUGUGUGCAAAGAGGGAAACAAAUAAAAACUGUUUUUGUCAGCUGUGGUGAAUGUGACUUCUAUGUAACUCGCCAUAGAAAGGGUGGAGGGUCAGAGGAGAGGUAAGUCUUGCAGUUGGGUAUACUCAGCAAGGACAUGCAGGAGGGUCCAUGGUGCUUUGCUUCUGCCAGCAAUGAUGUGAAUUGGUUCA